UAAAGGUUGGGGUUUAGGAUUUAGGGUUUAGGGUUUAAGGUUUAGAGUUUAGGGUUUAGGGUUUAGAUUUUAGGGUUUAGGGUUUAGGGUUUAGGGUUUAUAGUUUAGGGUUUAGGGUUUAUGGUUUAUGGUUUAUGGUUUAGAGUUUAGGGUUUAGGGUUUAGAGUUGAGAAAUGAGGUUUUGGGGAUAUGAUUUCAAAUUUUGAAAAAUA
RNAcentral lists this long non-coding RNA (212 nucleotides) under Brassica napus (rape). RNAcentral's name for it is "long non-coding RNA (BNAP_LNC010792)". Lineage: Eukaryota; Viridiplantae; Streptophyta; Magnoliopsida; Brassicales; Brassicaceae. The record is from RNAcentral.